Molecule: ribosomal RNA, 656 nt
Filed under: Bacillus cereus
Lineage: Bacteria; Bacillati; Bacillota; Bacilli; Caryophanales; Bacillaceae
Description: bacterial SSU rRNA
Source: RNAcentral
ACGUGGGUAACMUGCCCAUAAGACUGGGAUAACUCCGGGAAACCGGGGCUAAUACCGGAUAACAUUUUGAACCGCAUGGUUCGAAAUUGAAAGGCGGCUUCGGCUGUCACUUAUGGAUGGACCCGCGUCGCAUUAGCUAGUUGGUGAGGUAACGGCUCACCAAGGCAACGAUGCGUAGCCGACCUGAGAGGGUGAUCGGCCACACUGGGACUGAGACACGGCCCAGACUCCUACGGGAGGCAGCAGUAGGGAAUCUUCCGCAAUGGACGAAAGUCUGACGGAGCAACGCCGCGUGAGUGAUGAAGGCUUUCGGGUCGUAAAACUCUGUUGUUAGGGAAGAACAAGUGCUAGUUGAAUAAGCUGGCACCUUGACGGUACCUAACCAGAAAGCCACGGCUAACUACGUGCCAGCAGCCGCGGUAAUACGUAGGUGGCAAGCGUUAUCCGGAAUUAUUGGGCGUAAAGCGCGCGCAGGUGGUUUCUUAAGUCUGAUGUGAAAGCCCACGGCUCAACCGUGGAGGGUCAUUGGAAACUGGGAGACUUGAGUGCAGAAGAGGAAAGUGGAAUUCCAUGUGUAGCGGUGAAAUGCGUAGAGAUAUGGAGGAACACCAKUGGCGAAGGCGACUYUCUGGUCUGUAACUGACACUGAGGCGCGA